CGACGGAACGUAGUANACGGAUACUCCAUAUAUAUCGCAUGAUGUAUAUGGGAAAGCUCCGACGGCAAAGGAUGGGCCCGCGGCCUGUUAGCUAGUUGGUGGGGUAACGGCCUACCAAGGCAAUGAUGGGUAGCCGGGUUGAGAGACCGACCGGCCAGAUUGGGACUGAGACACGGCCCAGACUCCUACGGGAGGCAGCAGUU
Molecule: ribosomal RNA, 203 nt
Filed under: uncultured Atopobium sp.
Lineage: Bacteria; Bacillati; Actinomycetota; Coriobacteriia; Coriobacteriales; Atopobiaceae
Description: partial 16S ribosomal RNA
Rfam family: Bacterial small subunit ribosomal RNA
Source: RNAcentral